This 253-nucleotide ribosomal RNA is filed under the name uncultured bacterium. RNAcentral describes it as "partial 16S ribosomal RNA". It matches the Rfam family "Bacterial small subunit ribosomal RNA", at positions 524 to 776 of the family's 1533-position model. The record is from RNAcentral.
UACGGAGGGUGCAAGCGUUAUCCGGAUUCACUGGGUUUAAAGGGUGCGUAGGAGGGCAGGUAAGUCAGUGGUGAAAUCUCCAAGCUUAACUUGGAAACUGCCGUUGAUACUAUCUGUCUUGAAUAUUGUGGAGGUGAGCGGAAUAUGUCAUGUAGCGGUGAAAUGCUUAGAUAUGACAUAGAACACCAAUUGCGAAGGCAGCUGGCUACACAUAUAUUGACACUGAGGCACGAAAGCGUGGGGAUCAAACAGG